GUGGUCACUUUGGCAGCACAUACACUCAAAUUGGAACAAUACAGGUAAGAUUAGCAUGGCCUCUGUGCAAAGAUGACAUGCAAACUCAUGAAGCAUUCCAUAUGUUA
This 107-nucleotide small nuclear RNA is filed under the name Mandrillus leucophaeus (drill). Lineage: Eukaryota; Metazoa; Chordata; Mammalia; Primates; Cercopithecidae. The record is from RNAcentral.